Molecule: long non-coding RNA, 1972 nt
Filed under: Stegodyphus dumicola
Lineage: Eukaryota; Metazoa; Arthropoda; Arachnida; Araneae; Eresidae
Description: uncharacterized LOC118195724
Source: RNAcentral
UUCUACAGGCAUAUAAGGCUUGAAAAAUUACGACAAGCAAGUGUAAGGGAAGAUUCAUGCUCACUUUGUUUUGAUGGAUCUGCCACAGUUAGGUUAGAUCCUUGUCGUCAUACUGGAUUUUGUACACAGUGUGCCUUGCAGCUUGAAGUGUGCCCUAUGUGCCGUAGUGCUAUAGAUGAAAGAGUUGAAGUUGGAUGAAGGCAAGUUUUCUGAACUUUUAAAUUUAAAAUAAGUUGUUUUUUAUGUAAUUGUUUGGCAUUAUUAAUAUUUACCAUAUUUUAAUAUACAGAUUAUACAAGUCUGGGCCUGAAGAUUUUAAAUAUGACUGAAAUUUUAUUGACAUGAUAUAUUUAUCCAGAUUGAAGAACUGUCUCAAUCUGAGAGAAAUCUAUGCUUGUUUUUAUGAGAAAGCUAUAUUGGUACAUACUAUUGAUGCUAAAAUCAUUGUUGCACAUAUAAAGUUCUAAAAUGAAAUAUUUUUAAAGAAACUCGGGUUAUAACCAGUUUAAUAGAAAUUACAAUUGAUAUUAAAAAAAUGGCCUUUUUAUUAUUCAUACACAGGGAAAAGAACUAUUUGAUUUCAUUAUUGUAAAUUGCUUUUGAUCCUGGUUAUCAUCAGAUAAUGUGUAAUUUUUUUUAAGUGUCUUUUGUAUUCAAGAUUUUCCAGUAUUUCGUGUGUGAUGCAACUCGGUGUUUCAUGAUUGAUUCCAGUAAAAAGAAUUAUGCCUAUAGUUUCAUGUAAAUUUAUGCAAGUCUAGUGCCAAAUAUUGAACCUUGUAUGGUUUCUUUAAUUUUCAGUGGUAGAUUUUUUCGAUAUGUUUAUCAUUAAAUCAUACUGAAUUUGCAUAGCAGUUACUAUAUCAUAUCCGUAUAUAUAUUCACUAUUUAUUGUGUGUCAAAGACCUGGGAAUUUUAUGACCUUAUUUAAAUUUGUAUAUAUCUUGUGAGUUUGUUAUUUUAUUCUGGGGUAUGGCAAGCUUUUAACUUUGUAUCCUUUUGUCAUAAAAUUUAGCCUUUAAUAUUAGAAAGGCAUGAAUGUCCAUUUAAUUACUUUUUUAAUCAAUGUUUCUUUAUUAUACAAUUUUAUAUUAAAUAAAACCAGUGAAAAGCUUUUAUUUCCAUAAAUAUGUUUUGUUAAGAAAGGGCAGAGAGAUUUUUUAACACAUUUAAGACUUCUACACUUUUACUUUAAGGUGGGAGUCAUUAAAUUUUUUAGUUUAGUGUUAAUCAGGAGCAACUAGCACAUUUUCAUUUUUUUACUGAAGUUAGAAGCCUGUGAUAUAUUUUAAUGUUUUUUCCAGAGUUGCGGUUGGAGGCAUUAUGCUCAAAACCAUAGUAAAUUUGCUAUUCAUAUUAAAAAUGAAAAAAAAAAUAAUAAUAAUUGGCAUUUAAUAAAAGAGCUUCUGGGAAAAAAUGAAAUGACUAAUUAUUGAAGUGAAGCUUACAAUAAAAAAUUGAUUUUUGAAAAAAAUUUAGAUUUUUGGAAAUUUUGCAAUCUAUGCACUUAUUAAACAGAAAGAAAAAAAAAGGCUUAUAAUGGCAGUUAAAUAAAAUAUGUUCAUCCAGUUAAUUAUCUUUUGAAGAAAUUUAAAAUAUGUGUAAAUUAAAACUGUAGUUAUCAGUGGUUAAAUCUAUGUAACCAAAUAAAAGAAGACUAGAGUUGACUUCCCCAAAGAUUAAAACAUACAAAGUUCUGCUGACAUAUUCUGUAAAACUGGGUUCAUUGCAUUUAUAAUUUUCAGUUCUUCAUUAAUAUUGAAUAAAAAUCUGACUAAUACAAUUGUAAUAUGUUGGAUGAUUAUGCAAAUUUAUGACAACAUGUGUACAUGAACAAUAUACUAACAUAAACGUAGCUGAUAAUCUGCUUAUAAUUGAAAUCAUGACUUACGAAUGACAAAGGCCAGUAAAGGAUAACCUGCAUAGUUUAAUUCUUCCAUGAUUCAAUGAUGAAAAUUAUCAGUCGUCACAAAAA